RNAcentral lists this ribosomal RNA (259 nucleotides) under uncultured bacterium. RNAcentral's name for it is "partial 16S ribosomal RNA". It matches the Rfam family "Bacterial small subunit ribosomal RNA", at positions 8 to 269 of the family's 1533-position model. The record is from RNAcentral.
AGAGUUUGAUCAUGGCUCAGAUUGAACGCUGGCGGCAGGCUUAACACAUGCAAGUCGAGCGGGGAAAAGUAGCUUGCUACUUGACCUAGCGGCGGACGGGUGAGUAAUGCUUAGGAAUCUGCCUAUUAGUGGGGGACAACAUCUCGAAAGGGAUGCUAAUACCGCAUACGUCCUACGGGAGAAAGCAGGGGACCUUCGGGCCUUGCGCUAAUAGAUGAGCCUAAGUCGGAUUAGCUAGUUGGUGGGGUAAAGGCCUACC